ACUCAAAUGAAUAGACGGGGGCCCGCACAAGCGGUGGAGCAUGUGGUUCAAUUCGACGCAACGCGAAGAACCUUACCUGGGCUCGAACGGCUAUGGAUCGAGGGUGGAAACAUCCUUUUCCCGCAAGGGACCGUAGUCGAGGUGCUGCAUGGCUGUCGUCAGCUCGUGUCGUGAGAUGUUGGGUUAAGUCCCGCAACGAGCGCAACCCUUGUCCUGUGUUGCCACUUCGCAAGAAAGCACUCUCAGGAGACCGCCAGCGAUAAGUUGGAGGAAGGUGGGGAUGAUGUCAAGUCAUCAUGGCCUUUAUGUCCAGGGCUACACACGUGCUACAAUGGCCGGUACAAUGCGCUGCAAACCCGCGAGGGGGAGCUAAUCGCAAAAAACCGGUCUCAGUUCGGAUCGCAGGCUGCAACUCGCCUGCGUGAAGCUGGAAUCGCUAGUAAUGGCACAUCAGAACGGUGCCGUGAAUACGUUCCCGGGCCUUGCACACACCGCCCGU
Molecule: ribosomal RNA, 499 nt
Filed under: uncultured bacterium
Lineage: Bacteria
Description: partial 16S ribosomal RNA
Rfam family: Bacterial small subunit ribosomal RNA
Source: RNAcentral